Non-coding RNA from Maylandia zebra (zebra mbuna), 467 nucleotides. The record is from RefSeq and is a predicted model, not a curated record. NCBI's taxonomy places the organism in Eukaryota, Metazoa, Chordata, Actinopteri, Cichliformes, Cichlidae.
UUCAGUGUAUAUUAAUUAUUUAUUUUCAUUUUACUUAAAAUAUAUGUUUUUGUUAAGUUAACAUAUGUUUUUCUAAUCAAGUCUACGUAAUUGUGUCUAUUAUUCAACGUACAUAAUACUAAUGUGUUACUUGAUCGCAUAACAUUUAAGUUAAGUCAAUUAGGAUCGAUAUACCUUGUAUAUCCACAAGGUGGCAGUAAUGCAAAAACAGUUGUAAUGAAACCGCGCAGAACAAGAAGGUUUCACGGCUUGUGCCUGCUCAUGCGCAAGACUUCAAAUUUAACUGAAAAAGGCUGUUUUGGCGCCAAGCUGCUGUUUCUUUGAGAGAUCCUGCCUUUACCUGCUCCCUCCUAUACUGAUGUGGUGUAUGUGGUAUUGCUGAGCUUGUAUGUGGUGGAAGCAGAAUAUGUGAGGAUUACUACUGCUCCACUUGUUCCAAGGCUUUUUACACAACUUGACCAAUACAC